UACGAAGGGGGCUAGCGUUGCUCGGAAUGACUGGGCGUAAAGGGCGCGCAGGCGGCCAUGUCAGCCAGGCGUGAAAGUCCUGGGCUUAACCUGGGGACGGCGCUUGAUACGUGCGGGCUUGAGUGGGGAAGAGGGUCGUGGAAUUCCCAGUGUAGAGGUGAAAUUCGUAGAUAUUGGGAAGAACACCGGUGGCGAAGGCGGCGACCUGGUCCUUUUACUGACGCUGAGGCGCGAAAGCGUGGGGAGCAAACAGG
RNAcentral lists this ribosomal RNA (254 nucleotides) under uncultured bacterium. RNAcentral describes it as "partial 16S ribosomal RNA". It matches the Rfam family "Bacterial small subunit ribosomal RNA", at positions 524 to 776 of the family's 1533-position model. The record is from RNAcentral.